GCCACCCGAUUCUGUUAGCUGUCUAGAGAGAUAUAUCAGCCACAUGAACUGAGAACGGCCCAGACUCUACGGAGCAGCAGGGGAAUAUUGACAUGGCGAAGCUGAUCAGCUAUGCGCGUGAGUGAUGAGCUAGGGUGUAAGCUCUUUAGAUGGGAGAUAUGACGUACAUCAGAAAAGCCCCGGCUAACUUCGUGCCAGCAGCGCGGUAAUACGAAAGGGGGCAAGCGUUGCUCGGAUUUAUUGGGCGUAAAGGGUGUGUAGGUGGCUUUGUAAGUUAGAUGUGAAAGCGUGGGCUUAACCCGGGAAUUGCAUUUAAGACUGCAGAGCUUGAAGUUUGGAGAGGUAAGCAGAAUUUCCAGUGUAGAGGUGAAAUUCGUAGAUAUUGGAAAGAAUACCGAUGGCGUAGGCAGCUUACUGGCCAAAACUUGACACUGAGGCACGAAAGCGUGGGGAGCAAACAGGAUUAGAUACCCUGGUAGUCCACGCCCUAAACGAUGUGUACUCGCUAUCGGCAUGUUUACAUGUCGGUGGCUAAGCUAACGCGAUAAGUACACCGCCUGGGGAUUACGAUCGCAAGAUUAAAACUCAAAGGAAUUGACGGGGACCCGCACAAGCGGUGGAGCAUGUUGUUUAAUUCGAUGAUACGCGAGGAACCUUACCAGCCCUUGACAUCUAUAUUUUACUUUCUGGAAACAGAUCGUUUCGGUUCGGCCGGGUAUAGACAGGUGUUGCAUGGCCGUCGCCAGCUCGUGUCGUGAGAUGUUGGGUUAAGUCCCGCAACGAGCGCAACCCCUAUUGUUAGUUGCUACCAUUUAGUUGAGCACUCUAACGAGACUGCCGAUGAUAAAUCGGAGGAAGGUGGGGAUGACGUCAGGUCAUCAUGGCCCUUACGGGCUGGGCUACAAACGUGCUACAAUGGCGACUACAAAGGGCUGCAAUACCGCGAGGUGGAGCCAAUCCCAAAAAGUCGUCUCAGUUCAGAUCGCACUCUGCAAUUCGGGUGCGUGAAGUUGGAAUCGCUAGUAAUCGUGGAUCAGCGAUGCCACGGUGAAUACGUUCCCGGGUCUUGUACACACCGCCCGUCAAGUCAUGGAAGUUGGUUUUACCUGAAGAUGGUGGCCUAACCCGCAAGGGGGGGAGCCAGCCACGGUAGAGUCAAUGACCUCCAG
RNAcentral lists this ribosomal RNA (1169 nucleotides) under uncultured bacterium. RNAcentral's name for it is "bacterial SSU rRNA". It matches the Rfam family "Bacterial small subunit ribosomal RNA", at positions 263 to 1481 of the family's 1533-position model. The record is from RNAcentral.